This 148-nucleotide unclassified non-coding RNA is filed under the name uncultured Xylariales. RNAcentral's name for it is "sequence contains ITS1". The record is from RNAcentral. Lineage: Eukaryota; Fungi; Ascomycota; Sordariomycetes; Xylariales.
AAGAGUUAUAAACUCCUAAACCCAUGUGAACAUACCUCUGUUGCCUCGGUGGCCUACCCGGUAGCUACCCUGUAGCUACCCUGUAGUUCGCCGAUGGAAUACAAAACUCUUGUUUUUUUAUAUCUCUGAGAAAACUUUUAAUAAGUCA